Molecule: long non-coding RNA, 393 nt
Filed under: Homo sapiens (human)
Lineage: Eukaryota; Metazoa; Chordata; Mammalia; Primates; Hominidae
Description: HSALNT0272371
Source: RNAcentral
GAACUCACAUCUACCCACCUUCUGCAGGAAUGAGAUGGCCUUCCUUCCCCGUAGAGACUAUGACCCCUCUGACUUUCUCCCUUCUUCUGCAGUAACUGGGUUGUACCUCUCCCCAGUGGAGCUUAUGUGCACAGCUCAGACUUCCAUCUCCCUCUUCCAUGGUAUUCAGGCAGUCUCACCAUCCCUGCAGAGAUAUGGGGCGUAAGCCUGUUCUCCACCCCAUCCCAGUAUCAGGAGGCACCGCUAUCUACUGAAGCCUGUGGGUGUCACUCUGCCAUUCAUUUCUGACCAGUUUUAAUGUGUGGUACCAGCCCCAUUUCUCCUUUGGCUUUUCAGCAGAGUAUUUUUGAAAGAAGCAGGAAUUGACUGGACAGAGCUUUUGAUCAAAUGUUA